This 505-nucleotide long non-coding RNA is filed under the name Citrus x clementina. RNAcentral describes it as "Citrus clementina (C. clementina) long non-coding RNA (CCLE_LNC005102)". The record is from RNAcentral. Lineage: Eukaryota; Viridiplantae; Streptophyta; Magnoliopsida; Sapindales; Rutaceae.
GACUGGGAAGGGGGCGAGACUUUGCGAGGGGCCUCGGGGCGCCAAAACUAAGUCGCGGGCAAAGCCGCGCCCAAAAAUAAGCGCCCGAAGGUCGUGGUGCCAAAACCCCCCAGCGGAAAAAUGGCCAAAAAACGGGUGGGCUAUAGCCUUGGUGGGGGGCGCGGGCGAAGUUCGUCCGCCGGACUCGGAAUGGGACGAGACUUUGCGAGGGGCCUCGGGGCGCCAAAAAUAAGCCGCGGUCAAAGCCGCGCCCAAAAAUAAGCUCCCGAAGGUCGUGGUACCAAAACCCCCCAGCGGAAAAAUGGCCAAAAAACGGGUGGGCUAUAGCCUUGGUGGGGGGCGCGGGCGAAGUUCGUCCGCCGGACUCGGAAUGGGGCGAGACUUUGCGAGGGGCCUCGGGGUGCCUGCGGGAAGUCGCGGGCACAGCCGCGUCCAAAAAUAAGCGCCCGAAGGUCGUGGUGCCAAAACUCCCCAGCGGAAAAAUGGCCAAAAAACGGGUGGGCUA